UGUAGAGUAAACUAAUGGCUAGUUACCAGACUCAUUAUCUGGGUAUAUGGGUUCGACUCCUAUCUCUACUU
Molecule: transfer RNA, 71 nt
Filed under: Aplysina cauliformis (row pore rope sponge)
Lineage: Eukaryota; Metazoa; Porifera; Demospongiae; Verongiida; Aplysinidae
Also listed under: 2 other names
Description: tRNA-Met
Rfam family: tRNA
About the family: Transfer RNA (tRNA) molecules are approximately 80 nucleotides in length.
Source: RNAcentral